ACGGAAGGCAGCAGUGGGGAAUAUUGCACAAUGGGGGAAACCCUGAUGCAGCGACGCCGCGUGAGUGAAGAAGUUAUUCGUAAUGUAAAGCUCUAUCAGCAGGGAAGAAAAUGACGGUACCUGACUAAGAAGCCCCGGCUAACUACGUGCCAGCAGCCGCGGUAAUACGUAGGGGGCAAGCGUUAUCCGGAUUUACUGGGUGUAAAGGGAGCGUAGACGGUCUGGCAAGUCUGAUGUGAAAGGCAGGGGCUCAACUCCUGGACUGCAUUGGAAACUGUCAGUCUUGAGUGUAGGAGAGGUAAGCGGAAUUCCUAGUGUAGCGGUGAAAUGCGUAGAUAUUAGGAGGAACACCAGUGGCGAAGGCGGCUUACUGGACGAUAACUGACGUUGAGGCUCGAAAGCGUGGGGAGCAAACAGGAUUAGAUACCCUGGUA
RNAcentral lists this ribosomal RNA (434 nucleotides) under uncultured Clostridium sp. RNAcentral's name for it is "partial 16S ribosomal RNA". It matches the Rfam family "Bacterial small subunit ribosomal RNA", at positions 341 to 792 of the family's 1533-position model. RNAcentral also lists the same sequence under 1 other name. Lineage: Bacteria; Bacillati; Bacillota; Clostridia; Eubacteriales; Clostridiaceae. The record is from RNAcentral.